Molecule: ribosomal RNA, 732 nt
Filed under: Triticum aestivum (bread wheat)
Lineage: Eukaryota; Viridiplantae; Streptophyta; Magnoliopsida; Poales; Poaceae
Description: partial small subunit ribosomal RNA
Source: RNAcentral
AUGGGUGGGAUUGCGCCUAGAGUGAUCAUAACUGAUGAAUGUGUUAGGAUGAAAAAUGCAAUCAGAAAAACUGUACCGAACACGACACAUAGAUUGUGCAUGUGGCACAUUAUGGAAAAGGUUCCAGGGAAGGUACACCCGGAAUUGAGGAAUGACCUUGUGUUCUAUGAUAGGAUGAAACAUUGUGUGUGGAAUUCUGAAACACCUACUGAAUUUGAGGAUAGGUGGCAACCUUUCAUCUUAGAGUUUCAGUUGGAGGACCACGAGUGGUUUGCCAAAAGGCAAAGUGAGCUGAUUGCCAAUAACACAAGUGAAUACACAACAAGUGAGUUGUUGACAUCGUGGGAAAUAAAGAGACAUGGCAGGGCGCUAUUCACCCAUGAGGUUUUUGAAUUUUUUCAGGCCCAGGUGCUUGCUGCUAGAGAUGAUUGUGAUGAUCAGCAGACAGAAAAUCGUGAAGGGAUUAAAAUCAUGUUUGUCAGCGAUCAAUACAAGAAGAUUAGAGAAGUGUGUUAUGACACAACAUCCAUGACUGCUAAAUGUUCUUACAAGCUUUUUGAGUCCAAGGGAAUUAAAAAUUGCAAAAGGGACAUUGUCUAUGAUGGGGAAGGGAAUGUGAUUGAAGAAAAUUUAACAGAUCCGGUUGACAUUGCUGUGAAAAGGAAGAUAGUUGCUGUGAGAUUAGCUAGAAGAUCUCAUACGAAAAUCCAAACACUCCAUGGAAGGAAUUGA